This 98-nucleotide transfer RNA is filed under the name Deltaproteobacteria bacterium. RNAcentral describes it as "tRNA-Sec". It matches the Rfam family "Selenocysteine transfer RNA". The record is from RNAcentral. Lineage: Bacteria; Pseudomonadati; Myxococcota; Myxococcia.
GGAAGUGCCAAGGUCACUGGUGGGUCUCCCGGACUUCAAAUCCGGUGUGGGGCGCUAGAACCGUCCUAGGUGGGUUCGAUUCCCAUGCACUUCCGCCA